GGUGGGGCCAGAUAAGGGAAGCAGGCCUCCGAAGCCAGCAGUGGCAACCCACUUGGGUCCCUUUCAAUGCUGUGGAAGCGUUGUUCUUUCACUCUUCUCAAUAAAUCUUGCUGCUGCUCACUCUUUGGGUCUGCCCCGCUGUUAUGAGCUGUAACACUCACAGCCAGUGUCUGCAGUUUCACUCCUGAAGCCAGCAAGACCACAAACCCACAGGGCGGGACAAACAACUCCGGACAGGAGGAAUGAACAACUCUGGACGCGCCACUUCUAUGAACUUUUAUGAACUGUAACACUCACCGCAAAGGUCUGCAGCUUCACCCCUGAGGCCAGGGAGACCACGAACCCACCGGAAGGAAUGAACAACUCCAGACGCACUGCCUUUAAGAGCUGUAACACUUACCACGGAUGUCUGCAGCUUCACUCCUGAAGUCAGCGAGACCACAAACCCAACAGAAGGAAGAAACUCCCGACACAUCUGAACAUCUGAAGGAACAAACUCUGGACACACCAUCUUUAAGAACUGUAACACUCACCGUGAGGGUCAACCGCUUCAUUCUUGAAGUCAGCCAGACCAAGAACCCACCAAUUCCGUCUAUCUGAAUCAUGUUAUUGGACCAUGAGAGCAAGCAGCUGGAUCUCAUUCUGUCCAGGGUUUCAUCAUUUUUGGCCAUGCUGGCCUUGAACGCCUAACCUCAAAUGAUCCACCUGCCUUGGCCUCCUGAAGUUCUGGGAGUUAUAGGCAUGAGUCACCAUGCCUGGCACCACAUAAAAUUAUUUUGUCAUUAACAUUACAUUUUAAAAUACAAACGCUGUUUUCCAUAUUACUCAGGUCAGAUCUUUUACCCCACUUCUCUCAGUGAGAUUGCAUUAUUUAUUUCCAUCUCUAUAAUCUACUGUUCAUCCAUCUAUCUAUCCAUCCCUCAAUUUAGUUUUUUCACUACAUUCUGCAUUUGAUUCUUUUGAGGGUGUAUGCUUGUGUUUGUGCGUGGAAGUGGGGGUGUGUGUGUGUGUGUGUGUUCAAAAAGGUCUACAGUUUCCUUUUUCUGUAAUAUCUGUGUCUGCUGUUGGUAUUAGGGUAAUGCUGAACUCAUAGAGUAUGUGAAAAGUUUUCUACAUUCUUUGAUUUUUCUGAAAGAAAUUGUGCAGAAUUCAUAUUAUUUCUUUCUUAAAUGCUCAAGUGUUUAUUAAAAUUUACCAGUAAAAUAUUAUGACCCUAGGGUUUUCUUUUUUGGAAGGUGUUUAACUAAAAUUUCAAUGUAUUUGAUAAAUGUAGGACUAUUAAAAUUAUCUAUUUUUCCUUGAGUUGGUUUGGUAGUUUCUGUCUGUCAAGGAAUUGGUCUGUUUUAUCUAAGUUGCCAAAUGUAUUGGCAUAAUUACCUUAUUGAUAUUUGUCAGCUUCUUUCACUCCUUAUAUUGACAUUUUAUUCUCUACUCUUUUCUUUAUCAGCAUGACAAAAGGUUUACCAAAUACAUUGAUAUUUUCAGAUAAUUGCCUUUUUUCAUUUCAUUUAUUGUUGCUAUUUCUACUUUUAUUUCUACUCUUAUACUUAGUAUUUCCUCAUUCAAUUUGUUUUGUAUUUAAUUUGCCACUUCUUAUGGAGGACAUUUAGAUUGCUAGAUUUUAGUUAGGUCAUGCUUUUGUUCUCAGCAGGCCUUAUGAUAGAAAUUUUUCUCUUUUCUGCUUUAGUCACAUCCAUACAUUUUUAUAUAUUGUAUUUUCACUUACAUUCAUUUGAACAUAUUUUAAAUAUAUCUGAGACUUAUUUUUUAACACGUGAGUUAUGUAAAUGUAUAUUAUUUUUCAUAUCUGGAGAUUUUUCAGGUAUCUUUUUUAUUCUAGUAUAACUGUUUUCUGGCUUACAAGCAUACUUUGCAUGAUUUUUAAUCUUUGAAAUUUGUUAAGAGUUAUUUUAUGGUAUAAAAUAUGAUCUACCAUGAUUAGUCUUUCUUGUGGAUUUGCAAAUAAUAUGUAUCUGCUAUUGAGUGGCCUUUUCUAUAAAUAUCAAUUUGACCAAGUUGUAUGAUAGAGCUGAUGGUUCAGAUCAUCUAUAACCAUCUAUAAUACCACUGACAUGC
This 2076-nucleotide long non-coding RNA is filed under the name Homo sapiens (human). RNAcentral's name for it is "HSALNT0322162". Lineage: Eukaryota; Metazoa; Chordata; Mammalia; Primates; Hominidae. The record is from RNAcentral.